AACAAGGUCAUUUUUUAGUUUUUAGAUACAAUGUUUUGACUCUUCGUUUUAUUUGAAAAUUUUUUGCGAUUAAUAUUUUUAUUGUUACUAGAUGAUAAAAUAUAAAUAGUACUUUAUGCGUGACUAAUUUUUUUAAGUUUUUGUGCAAAUUUUUCAAAUAAGACGGAUGGUCAAAGCAUUGGGCAUAGAAAUCAAAAAAUGACGUUAUU
Non-coding RNA from Oryza brachyantha (malo sina), 209 nucleotides. The record is from Rfam. NCBI's taxonomy places the organism in Eukaryota, Viridiplantae, Streptophyta, Magnoliopsida, Poales, Poaceae.